This 254-nucleotide ribosomal RNA is filed under the name uncultured bacterium. RNAcentral's name for it is "partial 16S ribosomal RNA". It matches the Rfam family "Bacterial small subunit ribosomal RNA", at positions 524 to 776 of the family's 1533-position model. The record is from RNAcentral.
UACAGAGGUCUCAAGCGUUGUUCGGAUUCAUUGGGCGUAAAGGGUGCGUAGGUGGCAUGGUCAGUCGGAUGUGAAAUCCCGGGGCUCAACCCCGGAACUGCAUUCGAUACUGCCGCGCUAGAGUACUGGAGAGGAGAUUGGAAUUUACGGUGUAGCAGUGAAAUGCGUAGAUAUCGUAAGGGAAGACCAGUGGCGAAGGCGGAUCUCUGGACAGUUACUGACACUGAGGCACGAAGGCCAGGGGAGCAAACGGG